UUUUUUUUUUUUUUUUUUUGUCGUAAGAAUAAUAUUUGUAUAACCUACUCUAAUUUAAUCUAAGAGAAGAAGGAGUUGACGGAAUUUUUCCGUCGAAAAAAGUCACAAUUAAAUGGCAAAAUGGAAGGUCAAGAUUGACUUCCCAUUCCACCAAAAAUGGCAAAAAGUCACAAUUAAAUGGCAAAAUGGAAGGUCAAGAGGCUGUUGGCAGAUUCUCUUUUGUAACUUUUUUUUUUUUGGUCAAACAAUUACACAUAAGUUAGAUUAAAAUUAGCUGAAACAUUCUGAGGUUGAACCUAAGAGGACCACAAGAAACAUCCAUCCAUCCAGCCAAUUGAUGACAGGAAGGUACUCUUGUCGAGAUUCUCCUUUGUACUUGAGUGUCCAAAAACUUGUAGUGUCAGAAGAGUCACUUUGGUUGGUUAUUGCAGGGAAUGGAGCACUUGCAUUUGGCGCAUGGCCUAUUAUAGGGCAUGAAGUUUUUCAAAAACUGUUCUUUCUGAUGAUGACAAUUAAUAUAAAGUAAGGGAUUGGGUUUACCCUAGAAGCAAUACAACAUUGUUGCUUAUCUGAAGCAGAAACCAAUGUAUUCAGAUUGAAAUUUCGUAAAUAAAAGAUCUACCAACCCCACGCGUAACCCUAAAAAUAGUUUAUGUCAUGGUACGUACUAGACCUCAAAUGAUUUUGAAGCUUUCUUUUGUACACUAACUAGAAUUGUAGUUCCUGAGCAGAAUUCCUAAACAAUGAACUUUUGGCUCGAUCUUUUAUUUAUUUAUUUUUUUUUGGAACAUUAUUCAUAGUUAUUAAAUCCUAUCAAACUCGACGAUUAAACCUAUCAACUCGAUAAAUUAACCAUUUAACCUCGGGUAAGACCUUAGACCAAAUAACAGAGGAACUCAUUGACCAGACAAUUAUUUAUGAAUUUAAUAGAUAAACUCCAGAAAAUUGGUUGGUUCAAAUAAUUAUAUUAUUCUUACUUAUUUAAAUAUAGUGUUUUAUUAUAUUAUAGUUGCAUCGUUUGAAACUUGAGCUUGAACCAUUGGUCCGUUGAAUUGGUAACCUUAUCGGGGUCAUAUUAUUUGUUACACACACAUAUACAUGUAUACAUACAUACAUGCAUAUAUAUAUAUAUAUAUAUAUAUAUUUUCCAGCAUUAUUCAGUGUAUAGUUAUUGUAGUUUUUUUUUUUUCAUCUUUUUGUCCUAUCUCGUAUUAAUAUAUCUACUCUGAUCGAUGUUAGGUGUAGAAAAAGGGAUUGAAUUGUUCGGAUAUUCGUGCAAGAACAUGGGAUGGUUGGGGGCAGCGUGAAACGUUUUAUUAAUACUUGCAUUGUGGGAUCCUUAACAUGCAAGUUAGUAUGUUACCACAGCCAUCCACUCAAAGAAUUUGCUCGGUGUCGAAAGACAACACAACGUGGCCAAGCCACCAAACACCACAAGACACCCAACAAUCCCGUAUGAAUGAAUAUAUAUAUUGAAAAAGCAAAAUUCUUCAGAGAAGAAAAUUUUAUGUUUGUCACGUACAACUGGCACAUACACGAAUGACAAGGAAUCAUGUGCACUCUUGACCAUUCUUCUUCAACGACGUAACAUUUCUUGGAUGAAUUGGAUUUUGCUGGAUGAAUGAACGAGGUUCAAUUAUCUUUAAGGAAAAAGACGAUUUAAUAUUAUUGUCUAAAAAGACAAUUGAAUGAGCCAAGAACUGAUGUUUUGUGUUUGUCUCUACUCUACAAUUAGAGAUCAAAAUCGAGAUGUGCAGAAAUUUUGAACAAGCAAGAACUACUAGCCAAUAAACAUAAACAUAGCACAAGAGCUAUCGCAACAGGAGAGCCAAGUGUUUAAUUAAUGGAAAUACUGUUAGAAAGCUGAUCUUCUGCAGUCUAAUUAAGAUUUCAUUGCACUUAAUCUAACUCAAGAAGUUACAGUGCUUAUUAAUCAGAAUUUCUCCUGAUUAAAGAACAUAUUUAUUUUGUUUGGAUGAACAGAAAACCUACCGACCAAUAUGAGCAAUGAAAGAAUCCAUCUCCAAGCGACUAGUACCGCCUUCCAUAACAGAAUCCUUUACUGCUUUGCUCAAUUCUUUUGCCCUUUGCCUCAUCUCUUCUCCUUCAGCUGAAUCCAUCAAUCUUCUCACAGCAUUUUCAACAGCCAUGGAUGUCUCAAGUUCGUCUUGCCGAGACCAAUCCCUUACCGACAGACCAAUUUUCAGCACCUUUUCCAGUAGUAUUGCGUUUCUGUACUGGUCAGUAUGCAUAGGCCAUGCCGCCACCGGCACUCCCAUGCUAAUGCUCUCCAUACACGAGUUCCAUCCGCAGUGGCUCAUGAAUCCACCUGUUGAUGAAUGUCCAAGAAUCUCCAGUUGGGGUGCCCAAUCCCUCAUAAUUAUUCCUCUUCCUUCAGUUCUUUCUUCGAAUCCUCCGGGCAACUGAACUCUCCUAACUUCUCCCUUGAAGACAUCUCCUUGAUCUCCAUCCUUCAGUAUCCAUAUGAACUUUUGCCCGCUUUUCUCUAAUCCAAUCGCGAUCUGCGUGGCUUCCUCGUCCGAUACUGAAGUAUUCGAACCAAAGCAAACAAAAAUGACCCAGUUUGGGCCUUGUUUGUCUAGCCACUCCAGGCAAUAGUGUCUCUGUCCCGUGUUUUUCUGCUCAUUGAUCUCAACUGGGUUGAAGGGACCAACAGCCCAUUGCUUGUGGGAAUCGGCAGCACUGGCUUUUGCAAGAAGAUCAAGGUAUGGACCCUCUAUAAACCUGCAUGUGUUGUACAGAUCGCCCCCAGAGCUAAUUGGCUUGGAUUCAUUUUGCAAUUUUAUGAAAUCUUUCAACUCUUGAGGUAAAGAACUUGCAUGUGAUGGAAGAUUUUCGAGUGCUUCAAGUAUUUCAGGCUCGAGUACUCUAGGUUUCCCUAUUUUUUCCCAAGAAUAUGCGUACGCGGUGAAGGCUGAGACGCUCAUAAAGCUAUAGGACUCUGCAUUGGGAAUUAAAUCAACAUCCUGGAUGACAUAUGGCGUAACGGAGUCAUAAAUAACCACCAAUCUUCUCGUUGUGCUAGAAAGUUGUUGCAGAAGUGCGUAAACUGGCUCCCGGAGUUUGAUGGAUGCUUUCAGCAUUGGGAUGAGUUGUACGGGAAAUUUUGUCGGGGCGUUUGGGUCGGGAGGAGGAGUUUCAUAAGAAGGGACAGGAAAAUCGUGGAAAUGGAUGUUGGAAAUGGCAAGAGGAUCCCAACCUUGUACUCGGACCUUCGCCUGGCGGGUGUGAGUGGCCGUGCCAACGUAGUGAACGGGUAUAUUGUAGGAGGAGAUGAGGCGGGAGAGAUGGAGGAGCUGGUUGAGAUGACCUUGUAAAAGAAGGGGAACCAUAACCACAGUUACUUCAUGUGUUUCUUCUUCUUGAAUGCUACCAAUUUGGUUUUGUGCAGUAGAAUGACCAGUUUUGGGCAUUGGCUGGAUUUGGGAUUUGGAAAGCUCUUUGUACUUUAGCUUGUCAGAAUUGCUUUGCUCUUAGAAGUUGUAAGAUGAAAGCUCUGCUAAUACUGUAGGCUUCUACAACUCAAGAGAAGCUUCUACAACUCAUCUUAAUUGCAAGUGGACCCUCUGCUAAUAUUGUAGGCUUCCUAACCUUCCCAAGAACUCUUUCCAUGAUUGGUAAUAUUAUUGCAAGUGGAACCUCUGUUAGCGGACAAAGUUGGAAAGUACUUGACCAUCAAGAUUGCUCUGUUGGCAAAAUUUGACUUUGAUCCAAGUACUCAUCAGUUAUUCGAUCUGGGUUUCCAUCAUCCUUACAGUUACAGCAAGGAAGCAGCAAAUUUGACUUUGAUCCAAAUACUCAAAUUGUUGGAUCUGUAGUAGGACCGACGCGCGGGUUUUACUGCAGUUACAGCAAGGAAACAGCAGAAGAAUUGUACAGAAGAUACGAGCAUCGAGGACAAGGUGGAGGGUCGGUUGUUGUUGUCCCUUAAAUUGUUAUACUUCCUCUCUCCCAUUUUAAUAGUUCUAAUUUUUUUUCAUACAAUUUAAAAAAAAAUAAUUAAUUUUAUUAAAAAAAUAAAUUUAAAUUAUUAAUUUUCUAAAAUACCCUUACAUUAUUGUUUCCUCAAGUGGAAGAACAACGGGGGCUACAACAACAAUGAAAAAAUAAAAACAUUGAGAAAAAGUUGUUCAAACCAUCAUAAAGGAGAGAAGAUUGAAUUGUCCAAAACAAUUUGUGGAAUUGGAGUCCGAUUAUGAUUCUAGUAACUAUAUUUUGGAUGAAAGUUUUUUCAAAUCUGAUAAAGGGAAAAGCUAUUUAAAAUCUGAUAUUUUCCUUGAGAAGAGGAAAAUUUAAGUCAGAGUUCUUCCAUUGUUAAGUUUAGUAUUUCAAUUUUGAAGGAUUAUUAUUACUUUACCCCCUUAGUGUUUGGUGUUACUAUCAAUUUUUCCCUUAACUUUGUUUUUUAGUCAUUUUACCUACAAAAUUAAAGAUCAAACUUAAUGAAAUUUAUUAAUUCAAGUCAUAAGACAUGUUUAUCUUUUAAAAUCAUUAUUACUUUACUCUCAUAAACUAUAUCUUUAUUAUUAAUUUACCUCAUAGAGUUAUUUUUUAGAUAAUUUAUCCCACCAUUAGACCAACUUAACAAGUUAAAAAAUUUUAGAAGAAAGUACUCUCUUUUUGUAUAAUAAAAACAAUAAAAAAGUUAGAGUAGCCCUUCUCCUUUUUAGUAUCAAGGAAAAGAAAGUCAAAAUAUUAAUCUCUUUCUUCUUGACAAUCUUAUUAAUAUUGGAAAAAUAGAAUAUUAGAGAGAGAGAGAGAGAGAGAGAGAGAGAGAGUAAAAUACCUAGAAAAUUAUGUUAGAGAGUUAAGCGAUUGUACUACUAUAAUUUAAAGGGAUAAAGUGAUAAUAAUGUAGUAAUGUUAUAAAAUAAAAGAGAAUUUUUGUCAAAAAAUUGUUAACAUAUUAAGUUGAAUUACCUAUGGGGUGAAGUGACUAAAAAAUAACGUUAGGGGGUAAAUUAAUGUAGUAAUAUAUUUUAUGGGGGUAAAGUGAUAAUAACCCAAUUUUGAACCAAAUAGUUGGAGGUGGGAAGAUUAUGGUGAGGGGUGGUAGAUUAAAAAAAAUGGAAAAUUUAAGUCAAGUCUCGAGAUUUUGUUACAGAUCCAAAAACAUAUGGAACAUAUUGGGACGAUUUAUUUGUAAUAGAAUUUUGCCGAGUAAACUCUUCCAUGUAAGCUUGACGAGUUAGUGUUAACGAAUGUCCAGUUCUACACCCGCCAAUCACUUCAAACUCUAAUUACAUUAUCUUUACAUUAUCUAUCAUUAGGGACAAUGAAAAAGGAUAAGAGUAUAAAGUCAUAUAGAUCCAAUUUAAACAAAAGAUUCUGAAAUCUAAUUUUACACUUCUUUUAUUCUCAUUUGCGAAAAUUAAAAUCAUGAAAAUAAACUACCUAUCAUGAAUACAGGCUAGUAAUUCAAAAUGUUGAAUGAAAAGAUAAGAAAUAUGUUCUUCACAUCCUAAAUUUUUGGCCCCAACAAUUAUUUUACAUAUCAAUAACCUUAUCUAGUAAAUAAGCAUUUUUCACUAUUAAGAAACUUUAUAUAAAUCAAAAUAUCAAAAUAUAAUUAUCUAUCCAUAAAUUAAGAGACUCUAAUUAAUUUUAAUUCAACAGGCCUCAACAUUUCCUUCCUAAUCAUUGUUUUCCUUGGAUCUUCAUUUGUCAUAUUCUUUUUCCUCUGCUCUAGCACUAUCACCCUAUUAUCAAAUAACAAUUUUAACAAAUAAAAAAUUAAAAUUAAAAUGAAUACGUAUAAUGGAGUUAUUAUUUUAUGGGGGGAAGUAGUUACAAUUCUUUCAUUUUAGCCUAAAGAUUUUUCAUGGAAUCAAUACCCGUCUUCUUGUCAGCCACAGGGAAUUUUUUUUCCAAAAAUAAAAAGGACACAGAAUAAAUAAAAAUUUUAAAAAAAAUGAAAAACCACAUUUCUUUAGAUUUAAGGGGAAAAGUAUUUAUAGCAUCACAUACAAACUUCAACUUGCCUUUGUUAGGGCGCAAAAGAAAGUCAGAUAAAAGGAGGAAGUCGUAAGAAAAGGAAUAAGCAAAGGUUUCUAAUUAGGACACAAAAAAAUGACAAAAAAUAAUAAAUAGUAUAUACAAAGAGAGACGGUAAAAGUAGAAGAUCAUGAAUCAUGAUUAUUGGACUAAGAAAGAAAAGAAAUAUCAAACCCAAUCUUGAUCUCCUACAACUAAACCAUUCAUUUAGUUAAUUAUGGAUAAAAUUGAAAGAAAAUGCAUCAACUAAUUCAAUUGAGAAAAAAAGUAGAGUAAACGAUUUGGAUGAAGGGAAGAAAAGAAGAGCAGUACAGAGUGAAAACUAAAUAAGGAAUUUGCAGUGUAGAUAAGAGUUCGUUUGGUUGUCCUUAGCAAAACAACAGAAAGGAAAUAAGGUGAAAAAAAAGGAAGCAAAAGGAAGAAAAGAAAAGGAAUGUGCCAUGUGUCAAAAUGAAGGGAGAGUCACUUGGCAACCAUUGAACUUGCUACAAUAGCUCCACUUUCUUCUUAUAUAACUAGGAGGUUUUCGGCUGUGCUUAUAAUCUGUUGUCAUAUAUUUUUGUAUAAGAUAAGAUUAAUAGUAAUGUUUGUGAAAUAGCAUUCUUAAAAUCAUAAAUUACCAAUCAAACAUGUGGCUAACAAUAUAAGACUAAACAAAAUCAGAAAACCAUCAACAUUGCAAAAGAUAAAAGAAGAUGACAAAAGAUUGGCAAGUAGUUUUACAAAUAGCUUCAUAUCUUCAAGUGUAAGUUAGUCUUACAGAGACGGGAGAAGACAUGCUGAAUACUUAAUAUAAAGUGCAAUGAUAAGCUGCAAUUACAAAAUAUCAAAUAUUGAAAUCCAUUAAGUUGCACAAAAGAACAAUUUCUUAAUGGAUGUCAAUAUUGUGUCAAAAGAUGCAAGAUUAGCAAUUCAGCUAUAAAGUGCUUCAAGAUUAGCAAGAUUAGCAAUUCAAAAGGCUUCAAGCAAGUUUAGAGUUCGUUAUUGUGCUGCUUCUUCAAGGGACUUCUUGGUGCAAGAUUAGUUGGAGCGAAAGCUGAGAGUGCAUUGGUGGGCAGUGAGGCAGGUGUAAUAGCUUCAGCAGAAUUUGAUCCAAUUUUAGGAGGUACAGUUCCAAAAGCCAAGGCUCUCUUUGCUGUGGUCACUAGAGGCUGCACUUUGUUUGUAGUAGUAGAAGUUUCAGCGAUGGUAUCAAGCAGUUUUUUGGUUGAUGGAUUGAAAAAUUCAUUUUUGUUAGCAGACUGUAGCACAGUAGCAUGAAGGUCUCGAAUUUUUUCAUUCGUUUCUGUAGCCGUGAUUGCCAUUGGAAUGUGAGCUGAUUCCUCAGUAGUGUAUACCUUGAAAAUAUUAUACUUGCCUUCCUUCUAGCCUUGAUAAUCUGCCUCAUAGUAGCGGAUAAAACACACAAUCGAAUGUUUUCCGAUUGCAGAUGCUAGUUCAACAGAAAAGUUAAGCUCCUACAAUUUUUUGUUUUAAAGUAUAUAUAAUUAUCAAGUGUAUCCUGAAAUAUUAGCUAUUUGUUUGGAAUUAGAAGUUUUUAUUGUAUAUUUUGCUCCUAUACACUUUGCUGAUAUAUAUGAGUAGGCCUAUAUAAUAUGCCAAUAUAUAUAUGAGCUCUUUGUCUGUUUUAAUAACAUUUGACUACUACUAGUGUGAGAACCCGUAUUUCCCUAAUAUUUUCCUAGGGUUUUAGUUCCUUUAAUUGCGUAAUUUUUGCAUUUUCUGGUUUAGAAAUAUUUUCUGGAUGGAUUUUAUGAGCAAUUAUGGUUUUGAGAUGAUUUUUCUAGCAUUGGAGAAUUUUUAAAAAAUUAAGAAUAUAUAUUGGACGUGGGACCCACUAGUGCGAAAAGUUCGGAAAAAUUCGGCCAAUUAGGUUAAAUUUCGGAUACUGGUGGAAAUUUAUCGGGUGUUAAGAGAUAAGUAGAGGGUGACAUGGCAUUGAUGUGAGAGGAAUCAAGUGAUAGGAAGGCAUUAAAUGAAGUGCCAAGUGGCACUAUGUGAUUGGUCCACUUGUUGGACAUUUUUGACUUUUCUUACCAUGGAUUAAAUAUCUCAAAAAUUGACUAAAAAAUUCACUCUUUCUUACCUCUUGUUGGCCGACUCUUGAGAGCUCAAGAAGGAAGAGAAUUGCUUCAAAUUUCAAGCUUCCAUAUAGCUCAAUCUUCCAAACCACUUGCCUAACUUAGUUUCUAUUCCAUAAAAGCCUUCCAUUAGGUGCUAGUGAGUUGCUUAGUGAAGUUUUUUGGAAGAGCUAAGGUGGUCUACAACUCCUCUUCUCUUGUUUACUAGGUAAGUGAUGAUUGAACAUUCUUUUAUAGCUAAUGAUGUUGAAUUUAUGCCUAAUGGUGGCUAUUGUGUUAGAAAUUGUGGAUUAUUUCUUGGUUUGAAGUGAUUUGGUUGAGUUUUUUAUUUUUUGAGGAAUUUUCUGGUUUCAUAUCAUCUUGAUGGUGUGGUUGUUUUUGAUGGUUGGUAAUAAGGGGCUUUGGCUCUAGUAGGUGCAUAUGAUAGAAAAUUGCAAUCAAUUUUGGAUUUGGAAGAAUUUCUGGAAAAUUUGGGUUCUUGGUUGAACAUUCUGUCUGAAAUUUUAGGUCAUAGAUAGAGGCCGAAUUGGACUUUACUCAAAACAUGAAAGUUGUAGGUAUUGAUGAGUUUGAAGUGCCUGCAAAAUUUCAGGGCAUUUGGAGUAGUGUAGAGUGAGUUAUGCCGUUUUUACUGUUGCUGUUCUGGGUGAACAGAAUGUGCGAACUGCGAUAGUAAUUGUCUGUUUUGACUGGAAUUGGUUUGGAUUUUGUUGUUGGUGUCUUCUGAUGAAAUGUAGAGGGAUGUCUUAGCUACCUUAUGCCUUUGGAAUCAAUGCAUUUGGACCUGUAUAGACCGAAUUAUACUGAUUACAGUUUUGUGUGAUUUGUAAACCUGCAAUUACGGUUCAGGUUGUGGUAUUCUGCAGUUUCGACCUAGUUGUGCUAGGAUUUGGACUGAGUGGCCUUCUACAUUAUUGUAGCCCUGUUUCAUAGCUUCGAAACGGUGGGUCUUACACCCCCAUCCGAUGACCGUAGAGAAUUUUACACCAUUACCGCAUAAUAAGGGCAAAACAGUUUUCUAUUUGGGGCCAAGACUAAAGCCAUUUUCUAAUUUCUGGUUUGCUAUUAUGCUCAUUUAUGCAUAUGAAACCCUAUUGGGGUUGUGUUUAGCAUUGCUAUAUGACUCGUUAUCGAGUCUCUUUUAGGGCUUGCUUUCAUUUCGGUUGUUUCCUACCUAACUUUUGUACUUGUACUACUUUGAGCCUAGUGAACGGCUUUUGGGAAUGAGAUGACUUUUGUGUGAGGUGUUGGGACUGAUUUGAGGAAAUAAUGAAGCCUUAAUGGCUGGAAAAGUAAGAAUUUAGGGGAAGUGCUGCCCGAUUUUCUAGGCCGUUUGGUUCUUUAAGUUGGAUUUGCCUUUUGGUGAAAAUGAAAGGACUUUUGGGUUGCUUGAGCCUAGAUUUUCAUGUUACCCUUUUAUUCCCGAAAAUCAGGUUUUGCACCCUUGCAUUAGUAAUUAUUUGGUGAGGUAUACGACUAGUAGUCGAGCCUCACAUGUGCACUCUGUUUACUCGAUUCUGGAUGUGAAACCUUCAAUUGGUUUAUUUUGAUUAUUUUAGGGUUUCUUGGCGAUUAAGGCCAAUCUGAAGUGAAAACUUUUGAAGUUGAGCCGGUGAGUGUACCACUCCCCUCCAUUGCUGUUUAACUUGAUUUCUGCUCUGCAAUCUGUUUAUUUGUUCGAGACGAGGGUGUACUUUAUCACACUCGUUCUCUAGUCUGUUCAUAUGCCAAUUUACUAUGCAAAAUUUGAAUCUGUUAUCUGUGUCUGCAUCUGUUCGGAUUUCUAUGACCUAUGAGCUCAAUCCUGUGGCUAAGUUAUUCGAGUCGGGCCGGCAAGGGCCUGGACGAUUAGAUAACGAACCACGGUAGUCUGUUCGGGAUUGUGGGUAUUGAGACCCUUGAUUCCGGGUAUACUCGAGUAUUACCAUUUCUGUUCGGUUACGGUGAGCGGGCCCGGCAAAGGGGUGUUUGGUGGACGGAAUUCGGUGUAAAGAGGGGUCUACGGACGCGUUGGUUCUAUAUACGUUGACGGAGAGUCAACUGGUUUGGAUCAAGUACUGCGCUGAAAAUUUGGCUCCUGAGAGCCACCUGUAUCCUUCUGAUUUGAAUCAUUAGUUCCUUUGCUUUACAUCUGAUUUGUUAAAUGUGAAAUGUCAUGAUUUUAAUGCUAUCUGUUUGGUACCUCAUUGAGCGCAAGCUCACCCCGUUCUGUUCCUUUUGUUUUCCUUACAGGAAAAAUAAAUACUUUUGGUCUGGAUUUGACAAAUGGCUGCCAAAUUGAGCUAGUGGAACAUAUCUUUUGUAUAGCUCAUGUAUUAAAACCCUAAGCGUACUUUUGGGGCGUUUUCUCUUUUGAUUUGGCAAACCGUGUAUAUGUAUCAACUUUUGAAAACUUUUGUAUGUCAUUUUGGAUUGUUAUCGCUAAAGUUCCGAUAUGAGUGUUUGUGUGCUCUUUCGAUUGGGUUCUGACGGGUCGGUUACUAUUCAUGGCCGACUCCGACUUUGUUUUUUUUUUAUUUUUGUGGGUUCGACUUGUUUUCACGCGGUGGUAUGACCCGAAAAGUAUUAGAUCGUGCUAAUCUGAUCCGUAGUCCUGGCGAGAGCUGAGCAGGCAGUCCGCUAACCCCUUUGGUUCGCCUUAGGGGAAAGUGGGGUUGUUACAAGUGGUAUCAGAGCCACGUCGCGUGGUCUCUGCGCGGAGUGAGACUGGGCCAAGUGGUGUUGUGGUCCUAAUUUCAUGAAUUUGUCUAAGUGCUCGUUUGAGCGUAAGUUAUGAACCGGGUAUGUGAUAAGUGUACGAAUCAUUAUCAUGGGAAUCGAGGAAGCUAGGUAUGUAUGUCGGGUAGGAAUCUUUAAUAAGGAUGGUUUACUCUUGGGACCGGCCGGCUCGAGUUGUGAAUUAUCUUAGAUAAGAUUCUUGCGCCCGGAUACGAAAGAUAUGAGGGCCUAGGUUAGAAAGGAUUUGGUGAACUAGGAAAGCCAUUCCUCGGUGGAUCGUCUAUGUUUGUACUUGACUUAACUGGCUGUGUAUAUGUGUGUGGCUUAAUUUUGACCGGCUUGUAUAUAUAUGUUUUGAUCUUGUUUGGAAUGUAUAAAUGUGUGUUAUCAUAAAAGUUUUGAGUGUUACUUACAUGCAUCGUGCUUAUUUUGGUUUAGUAUUAUUGCCUAGACCAAGUAAAACUCAUGGAAGGUACACGGAGUGGUCGGGGACGUGGGCGCGGAACUAGACAACCCACACCGGUUAGGGGUACGGGGGAAACCUCUACUGGACCCAAUCUGGAACCGCAAGUAAACCCUAAUGUGCAAAUAGCUGCUGCUAUGCAGCAAAUGACAGACUUGCUAGCACAAGUGGUGCAGCAACAGGGCCAAAACCCAAACCCUAACCCUGGAAACCCUGGUAACCAUAUCGAGAGCGAAGACAGAGCUCUCGAACGAUUCCAAAAGUUCGCUCCGCCAAAGUUUGUUGGGGGACCCGACCCAGACGUUGCCGAAAGAUGGCUUGAAAAGAUGGUGGAUAUAUUUGCAGCCCUACACUACCCUGACGAACGACAGGUGACUUUUGCCGUGUUCCAGCUUGAGGGGGCAGCCCGUUCCUGGUGGAACGUAAUUCGGCAGAAGUGGGAACGAGAACAGACACCUAGGACUUGGGUGAACUUCAUCAGAGAGUUCAAUGCGAAGUUUUUCCCUCCCUUAGUUCAGGAAAGGAAGGAAGAUGAGUUUAUUCGACUCUGCCAAGGGGCUCAAUCAGUGGCGGAAUAUGAGAGCCAAUUCACCCGCCUAUCCAAAUUUGCCCCUGAACUGAUCAUGACCGAGCAGCGGCGAAUAAGGCGUUUUAUCCAGGGCUUGAACGUAGAAAUUCAGAAGGAUCUCGCGGUGGCCCAGAUUAAUGCUUUUAGCGAGGCCGUAGAGAAGGCGCAACGAGUAGAAAAUGCCAGGCUGCAGGUGAAGAACUUCCAAACCAAGAAAAGGAGCUUUCCUGGGAGUAGCUCUGAACAAGAAGGUACAAAUACACCCCCUAAGAUUGGAAAGGGAAACGGAGGAGUACGACAACCAGGGGUGUCGCGUGAUGUCCCUCAGGGAGGACCGGUCUCUGCUGCUCGUGGUCCCUGUGGAUAUUGCGGAGGGCCAAGUCAUACGGAAACAAAUUGCUGGAAGAAAGAAGGAAAAUGCUUGCGCUGUGGAAGCGCUGAACAUCGGAUUGCUAACUGUCCAGCUCGCCUGCGCGAGCGGAGAGGGACUCUGCCACCAACCAAGCCCAAUUCUCAGCAACCCGCCAAGAGCAACCCUGGACAGACGAAAGGAGAAGGGACGGGAUUGAAGGCACCAGCUCGAGUAUACUCUCUAGAGCAGCAUCAGGUCCCUGACUCAUCUGAGGAUGGAGAAGGUAUGGUCCGUUGGGUACUUUAGAUUUGAUAGAUUCCGUUGAUAAGAAAAUUUCGAGGACGAAAUUCUUUUAAGGGGGAGAGAGUGUGAGAACCCGUAUUUCCCUAAUAUUUUCCUAGGGUUUUAGUUCCUUUAAUUGCGUAAUUUUUGCAUUUUCUGGCUUAGAAAUAUUUUCUGGAUGGAUUUUAUGAGCAAUUAUGGUUUUGAGAUGAUUUUUCUAGCAUUGGAGAAUUUUUAAAAAAUUAAGAAUAUAUAUUGGACGUGGGACCCACUAGUGCGAAAAGUUCGGAAAAAUUCGGCCAAUUAGGUUAAAUUUCGGAUACUGGUGGAAAUUUAUCGGGUGUUAAGAGAUAAGUAGAGGGUGACAUGGCAUUGAUGUGAGAGGAAUCAAGUGAUAGGAAGGCAUUAAAUGAAGUGCCAAGUGGCACUAUGUGAUUGGUCCACUUGUUGGACAUUUUUGACUUUUCUUACCAUGGAUUAAAUAUCUCAAAAAUUGACUAAAAAAUUCACUCUUUCUUACCUCUUGUUGGCCGACUCUUGAGAGCUCAAGAAGGAAGAGAAUUGCUUCAAAUUUCAAGCUUCCAUAUAGCUCAAUCUUCCAAACCACUUGCCUAACUUAGUUUCUAUUCCAUAAAAGCCUUCCAUUAGGUGCUAGUGAGUUGCUUAGUGAAGUUUUUUGGAAGAGCUAAGGUGGUCUACAACUCCUCUUCUCUUGUUUACUAGGUAAGUGAUGAUUGAACAUUCUUUUAUAGCUAAUGAUGUUGAAUUUAUGCCUAAUGGUGGCUAUUGUGUUAGAAAUUGUGGAUUAUUUCUUGGUUUGAAGUGAUUUGGUUGAGUUUUUUAUUUUUUGAGGAAUUUUCUGGUUUCAUAUGAUCUUGAUGGUGUGGUUGUUUUUGAUGGUUGGUAAUAAGGGGCUUUGGCUCUAGUAGGUGCAUAUGAUAGAAAAUUGCAAUCAAUUUUGGAUUUGGAAGAAUUUCUGGAAAAUUUGGGUUCUUGGUUGAACAUUCUGUCCGAAAUUUUAGGUCAUAGAUAGAGGCCGAAUUGGACUUUACUCAAAACAUGAAAGUUGUAGGUAUUGAUGAGUUUGAAGUGCCUGCAAAAUUUCAGGGCAUUUGGAGUAGUGUAGAGUGAGUUAUGCCGUUUUUACUGUUGCUGUUCUGGGUGAACAGAAUGUGCGAACUGCGAUAGUAAUUGUCUGUUUUGACUGGAAUUGGUUUGGAUUUUGUUGUUGGUGUCUUCUGAUGAAAUGUAGAGGGAUGUCUUAGCUACCUUAUGCCUUUGGAAUCAAUGCAUUUGGACCUGUAUAGACCGAAUUAUACUGAUUACAGUUUUGUGUGAUUUGUAAACCUGCAAUUACGGUUCAGGUUGUGGUAUUCUGCAGUUUCGACCUAGUUGUGCUAGGAUUUGGACUGAGUGGCCUUCUACAUUAUUGUAGCCCUGUUUCAUAGCUUCGAAACGGUGGGUCUUACACCCCCAUCCGAUGACCGUAGAGAAUUUUACACCAUUACCGCAUAAUAAGGGCAAAACAGUUUUCUAUUUGGGGCCAAGACUAAAGCCAUUUUCUAAUUUCUGGUUUGCUAUUAUGCUCAUUUAUGCAUAUGAAACCCUAUUGGGGUUGUGUUUAGCAUUGCUAUAUGACUCGUUAUCGAGUCUCUUUUAGGGCUUGCUUUCAUUUCGGUUGUUUCCUACCUAACUUUUGUACUUGUACUACUUUGAGCCUAGUGAACGGCUUUUGGGAAUGAGAUGACUUUUGUGUGAGGUGUUGGGACUGAUUUGAGGAAAUAAUGAAGCCUUAAUGGCUGGAAAAGUAAGAAUUUAGGGGAAGUGCUGCCCGAUUUUCUAGGCCGUUUGGUUCUUUAAGUUGGAUUUGCCUUUUGGUGAAAAUGAAAGGACUUUUGGGUUGCUUGAGCCUAGAUUUUCAUGUUACCCUUUUAUUCCCGAAAAUCAGGUUUUGCACCCUUGCAUUAGUAAUUAUUUGGUGAGGUAUACGACUAGUAGUCGAGCCUCACAUGUGCACUCUGUUUACUCGAUUCUGGAUGUGAAACCUUCAAUUGGUUUAUUUUGAUUAUUUUAGGGUUUCUUGGCGAUUAAGGCCAAUCUGAAGUGAAAACUUUUGAAGUUGAGCCGGUGAGUGUACCACUCCCCUCCAUUGCUGUUUAACUUGAUUUCUGCUCUGCAAUCUGUUUAUUUGUUCGAGACGAGGGUGUACUUUAUCACACUCGUUCUCUAGUCUGUUCAUAUGCCAAUUUACUAUGCAAAAUUUGAAUCUGUUAUCUGUGUCUGCAUCUGUUCGGAUUUCUAUGACCUAUGAGCUCAAUCCUGUGGCUAAGUUAUUCGAGUCGGGCCGGCAAGGGCCUGGACGAUUAGAUAACGAACCACGGUAGUCUGUUCGGGAUUGUGGGUAUUGAGACCCUUGAUUCCGGGUAUACUCGAGUAUUACCAUUUCUGUUCGGUUACGGUGAGCGGGCCCGGCAAAGGGGUGUUUGGUGGACGGAAUUCGGUGUAAAGAGGGGUCUACGGACGCGUUGGUUCUAUAUACGUUGACGGAGAGUCAACUGGUUUGGAUCAAGUACUGCGCUGAAAAUUUGGCUCCUGAGAGCCACCUGUAUCCUUCUGAUUUGAAUCAUUAGUUCCUUUGCUUUACAUCUGAUUUGUUAAAUGUGAAAUGUCAUGAUUUUAAUGCUAUCUGUUUGGUACCUCAUUGAGCGCAAGCUCACCCCGUUCUGUUCCUUUUGUUUUCCUUACAGGAAAAAUAAAUACUUUUGGUCUGGAUUUGACAAAUGGCUGCCAAAUUGAGCUAGUGGAACAUAUCUUUUGUAUAGCUCAUGUAUUAAAACCCUAAGCGUACUUUUGGGGCGUUUUCUCUUUUGAUUUGGCAAACCGUGUAUAUGUAUCAACUUUUGAAAACUUUUGUAUGUCAUUUUGGAUUGUUAUCGCUAAAGUUCCGAUAUGAGUGUUUGUGUGCUCUUUCGAUUGGGUUCUGACGGGUCGGUUACUAUUCAUGGCCGACUCCGACUUUGUUUUUUUUUUAUUUUUGUGGGUUCGACUUGUUUUCACGCGGUGGUAUGACCCGAAAAGUAUUAGAUCGUGCUAAUCUGAUCCGUAGUCCUGGCGAGAGCUGAGCAGGCAGUCCGCUAACCCCUUUGGUUCGCCUUAGGGGAAAGUGGGGUUGUUACAAGUGGUAUCAGAGCCACGUCGCGUGGUCUCUGCGCGGAGUGAGACUGGGCCAAGUGGUGUUGUGGUCCUAAUUUCAUGAAUUUGUCUAAGUGCUCGUUUGAGCGUAAGUUAUGAACCGGGUAUGUGAUAAGUGUACGAAUCAUUAUCAUGGGAAUCGAGGAAGCUAGGUAUGUAUGUCGGGUAGGAAUCUUUAAUAAGGAUGGUUUACUCUUGGGACCGGCCGGCUCGAGUUGUGAAUUAUCUUAGAUAAGAUUCUUGCGCCCGGAUACGAAAGAUAUGAGGGCCUAGGUUAGAAAGGAUUUGGUGAACUAGGAAAGCCAUUCCUCGGUGGAUCGUCUAUGUUUGUACUUGACUUAACUGGCUGUGUAUAUGUGUGUGGCUUAAUUUUGACCGGCUUGUAUAUAUAUGUUUUGAUCUUGUUUGGAAUGUAUAAAUGUGUGUUAUCAUAAAAGUUUUGAGUGUUACUUACAUGCAUCGUGCUUAUUUUGGUUUAGUAUUAUUGCCUAGACCAAGUAAAACUCAUGGAAGGUACACGGAGUGGUCGGGGACGUGGGCGCGGAACUAGACAACCCACACCGGUUAGGGGUACGGGGGAAACCUCUACUGGACCCAAUCUGGAACCGCAAGUAAACCCUAAUGUGCAAAUAGCUGCUGCUAUGCAGCAAAUGACAGACUUGCUAGCACAAGUGGUGCAGCAACAGGGCCAAAACCCAAACCCUAACCCUGGAAACCCUGGUAACCAUAUCGAGAGCGAAGACAGAGCUCUCGAACGAUUCCAAAAGUUCGCUCCGCCAAAGUUUGUUGGGGGACCCGACCCAGACGUUGCCGAAAGAUGGCUUGAAAAGAUGGUGGAUAUAUUUGCAACCCUACACUACCCUGACGAACGACAGGUGACUUUUGCCGUGUUCCAGCUUGAGGGGGCAGCCCGUUCCUGGUGGAACGUAAUUCGGCAGAAGUGGGAACGAGAACAGACACCUAGGACUUGGGUGAACUUCAUCAGAGAGUUCAAUGCGAAGUUUUUCCCUCCCUUAGUUCAGGAAAGGAAGGAAGAUGAGUUUAUUCGACUCUGCCAAGGGGCUCAAUCAGUGGCGGAAUAUGAGAGCCAAUUCACCCGCCUAUCCAAAUUUGCCCCUGAACUGAUCAUGACCGAGCAGCGGCGAAUAAGGCGUUUUAUCCAGGGCUUGAACGUAGAAAUUCAGAAGGAUCUCGCGGUGGCCCAGAUUAAUGCUUUUAGCGAGGCCGUAGAGAAGGCGCAACGAGUAGAAAAUGCCAGGCUGCAGGUGAAGAACUUCCAAACCAAGAAAAGGAGCUUUCCUGGGAGUAGCUCUGAACAAGAAGGUACAAAUACACCCCCUAAGAUUGGAAAGGGAAACGGAGGAGUACGACAACCAGGGGUGUCGCGUGAUGUCCCUCAGGGAGGACCGGUCUCUGCUGCUCGUGGUCCCUGUGGAUAUUGCGGAGGGCCAAGUCAUACGGAAACAAAUUGCUGGAAGAAAGAAGGAAAAUGCUUGCGCUGUGGAAGCGCUGAACAUCGGAUUGCUAACUGUCCAGCUCGCCUGCGCGAGCGGAGAGGGACUCUGCCACCAACCAAGCCCAAUUCUCAGCAACCCGCCAAGAGCAACCCUGGACAGACGAAAGGAGAAGGGACGGGAUUGAAGGCACCAGCUCGAGUAUACUCUCUAGAGCAGCAUCAGGUCCCUGACUCAUCUGAGGAUGGAGAAGGUAUGGUCCGUUGGGUACUUUAGAUUUGAUAGAUUCCGUUGAUAAGAAAAUUUCGAGGACGAAAUUCUUUUAAGGGGGAGAGAGUGUGAGAACCCGUAUUUCCCUAAUAUUUUCCUAGGGUUUUAGUUCCUUUAAUUGCGUAAUUUUUGCAUUUUCUGGCUUAGAAAUAUUUUCUGGAUGGAUUUUAUGAGCAAUUAUGGUUUUGAGAUGAUUUUUCUAGCAUUGGAGAAUUUUUAAAAAAUUAAGAAUAUAUAUUGGACGUGGGACCCACUAGUGCGAAAAGUUCGGAAAAAUUCGGCCAAUUAGGUUAAAUUUCGGAUACUGGUGGAAAUUUAUCGGGUGUUAAGAGAUAAGUAGAGGGUGACAUGGCAUUGAUGUGAGAGGAAUCAAGUGAUAGGAAGGCAUUAAAUGAAGUGCCAAGUGGCACUAUGUGAUUGGUCCACUUGUUGGACAUUUUUGACUUUUCUUACCAUGGAUUAAAUAUCUCAAAAAUUGACUAAAAAAUUCACUCUUUCUUACCUCUUGUUGGCCGACUCUUGAGAGCUCAAGAAGGAAGAGAAUUGCUUCAAAUUUCAAGCUUCCAUAUAGCUCAAUCUUCCAAACCACUUGCCUAACUUAGUUUCUAUUCCAUAAAAGCCUUCCAUUAGGUGCUAGUGAGUUGCUUAGUGAAGUUUUUUGGAAGAGCUAAGGUGGUCUACAACUCCUCUUCUCUUGUUUACUAGGUAAGUGAUGAUUGAACAUUCUUUUAUAGCUAAUGAUGUUGAAUUUAUGCCUAAUGGUGGCUAUUGUGUUAGAAAUUGUGGAUUAUUUCUUGGUUUGAAGUGAUUUGGUUGAGUUUUUUAUUUUUUGAGGAAUUUUCUGGUUUCAUAUGAUCUUGAUGGUGUGGUUGUUUUUGAUGGUUGGUAAUAAGGGGCUUUGGCUCUAGUAGGUGCAUAUGAUAGAAAAUUGCAAUCAAUUUUGGAUUUGGAAGAAUUUCUGGAAAAUUUGGGUUCUUGGUUGAACAUUCUGUCCGAAAUUUUAGGUCAUAGAUAGAGGCCGAAUUGGACUUUACUCAAAACAUAAAAGUUGUAGGUAUUGAUGAGUUUGAAGUGCCUGCAAAAUUUCAGGGCAUUUGGAGUAGUGUAGAGUGAGUUAUGCCGUUUUUACUGUUGCUGUUCUGGGUGAACAGAAUGUGCGAACUGCGAUAGUAAUUGUCUGUUUUGACUGGAAUUGGUUUGGAUUUUGUUGUUGGUGUCUUCUGAUGAAAUGUAGAGGGAUGUCUUAGCUACCUUAUGCCUUUGGAAUCAAUGCAUUUGGACCUGUAUAGACCGAAUUAUACUGAUUACAGUUUUGUGUGAUUUGUAAAGCUGCAAUUACGGUUCAGGUUGUGGUAUUCUGCAUUUUCGACCUAGUUGUGCUAGGAUUUGGACUGAGUGGCCUUCUACAUUAUUGUAGCCCUGUUUCAUAGCUUCGAAACGGUGGGUCUUACACCCCCAUCCGAUGACCGUAGAGAAUUUUACACCAUUACCGCAUAAUAAGGGCAAAACAGUUUUCUAUUUGGGGCCAAGACUAAGGCCAUUUUCUAAUUUCUGGUUUGCUAUUAUGCUCAUUUAUGCAUAUGAAACCCUAUUGGGGUUGUGUUUAGCAUUGCUAUAUGACUCGUUAUCGAGUCUCUUUUAGGGCUUGCUUUCAUUUCGGUUGUUUCCUACCUAACUUUUGUACUUGUACUACUUUGAGCCUAGUGAACGGCUUUUGGGAAUGAGAUGACUUUUGUGUGAGGUGUUGGGACUGAUUUGAGGAAAUAAUGAAGCCUUAAUGGCUGGAAAAGUAAGAAUUUAGGGGAAGUGCUGCCCGAUUUUCUAGGCCGUUUGGUUCUUUAAGUUGGAUUUGCCUUUUGGUGAAAAUGAAAGGACUUUUGGGUUGCUUGAGCCUAGAUUUUCAUGUUACCCUUUUAUUCCCGAAAAUCAGGUUUUGCACCCUUGCAUUAGUAAUUAUUUGGUGAGGUAUACGACUAGUAGUCGAGCCUCACAUGUGCACUCUGUUUACUCGAUUCUGGAUGUGAAACCUUCAAUUGGUUUAUUUUGAUUAUUUUAGGGUUUCUUGGCGAUUAAGGCCAAUCUGAAGUGAAAACUUUUGAAGUUGAGCCGGUGAGUGUACCACUCCCCUCCAUUGCUGUUUAACUUGAUUUCUGCUCUGCAAUCUGUUUAUUUGUUCGAGACGAGGGUGUACUUUAUCACACUCGUUCUCUAGUCUGUUCAUAUGCCAAUUUACUAUGCAAAAUUUGAAUCUGUUAUCUGUGUCUGCAUCUGUUCGGAUUUCUAUGACCUAUGAGCUCAAUCCUGUGGCUAAGUUAUUCGAGUCGGGCCGGCAAGGGCCUGGACGAUUAGAUAACGAACCACGGUAGUCUGUUCGGGGAUUGUGGGUAUUGAGACCCUUGAUUCCGGGUAUACUCGAGUAUUACCAUUUCUGUUCGGUUACGGUGAGCGGGCCCGGCAAAGGGGUGUUUGGUGGACGGAAUUCGGUGUAAAGAGGGGUCUACGGACCCGUUGGUUCUAUAUACGUUGACGGAGAGUCAACUGGUUUGGAUCAAGUACUGCGCUGGAAAUUUGGCUCCUGAGAGCCACCUGUAUCCUUCUGAUUUGAAUCAUUAGUUCCUUUGCUUUACAUCUGAUUUGUUAAAUGUGAAAUGCCAUGAUUUUAAUGCUAUCUGUUUGGUACCUCAUUGAGCGCAAGCUCACCCCGUUCUGUUCCUUUUGUUUUCCUUACAGGAAAAAUAAAUACUUUUGGUCUGGAUUUGACAAAUGGCUGCCAAAUUGAGCUAGUGGAACAUAUCUUUUGUAUAGCUCAUGUAUUAAAACCCUAAGCGUACUUUUGGGGCGUUUUCUCUUUUGAUUUGGCAAACCGUGUAUAUGUAUCAACUUUUGAAAACUUUUGUAUGUCAUUUUGGAUUGUUAUCGCUAAAGUUCCGAUAUGAGUGUUUGUGUGCUCUUUCGAUUGGGUUCUGACGGGUCGGUUACUAUUCAUGGCCGACUCCGACUUUGUUUUUUUUUUAUUUUUGUGGGUUCGACUUGUUUUCACGCGGUGGUAUGACCCGAAAAGUAUUAGAUCGUGCUAAUCUGAUCCGUAGUCCUGGCGAGAGCUGAGCAGGCAGUCCGCUAACCCCUUUGGUUCGCCUUAGGGGAAAGUGGGGUUGUUACAACUAACUUCGUCAAAGAGACCAUCUAUUGAAUUUGAGUGUUCGCUUGUCUUUCUUUUUCGCAUUCAAUAGCAUAGCACAGAGGUCUGACUAAUGAUUAACUAAUACAAUAGCAACUAAAAGUACAUACACAUAGUCAGUUUUAACUCGAGCCAAACAUGUCAUGUAUAGAUACCAAGAUAAUAACCAAGAACUCAAGCAAUAAUAAACAAAACUUACUAUCAGAUUUUAAGGAGAAGAACAUAUUUUAUAUUUCUUAAUGGUUAUUAAUGUUAAUAAAAGCUAAAACUUUCCAACAGAAAACAUGUGGCCUCUAAUUUAAUCAAUAACAUAACAGUUUCAAAACUCUAAGUACAUAAAAAAAAGUGCAAAUCAAAAGCAUAAAUCUUAAAUUUGAUCUUGAGUUUUUUAGACAAACCUCAUAGCAACGUAUGCAAACUUGCAAGAACAAAGCACAAAUAGCCUACAACAGAGGCAACUUCAAUUUAAAUGAAAAUUUUAAUUUUGCAAUUAAAGCAAAAAAAAAAAGAAUAAAAUUCAAUGCAGAUAAGGGGGAAAAGUUCAAAAUUUAAAAAAAUAUUAAUAAAUGAAUAUAAAUAAGCAAGAGAGUAAAGGUAAUUUAUUGUUUUUUAUCAGGUGAAAGAUGAACAAGAAAAGAUGGGGGAGGGAUGGGUUAGGUGGCAUGGGGGGAGGGAGUGUAAGUAAGAGGUCUCAGGUUCGAAUCCUUCAACUUACACUAAAAAAAAUGAAAAAUUAAAAAAAAAAAAAAAGAUAGCAAAAAAAUAAACCAUACCACGUGGGGAAAGUGAAGCAACAAGAGCAAAACACCAAUUGUUUUUUUUUUUUUCUUAUCCUUCUUAAACCAAAUAAAUGAUCAUGAUUACUUGUGAAAAAAGCUUAAAGGAAGCAUCAAAUCUAUCAAUGAUCUCUAGGUUGAUCAAUGGUUUGAAAUUGAGAAGGUACAAUAAAGGUUAGAGAAAGAUGGUGUUUUCUCUAAAAGCUUUUCAUGCCCUAAAAAAGUCUAGACUAAACGAAACAGCAAACAAGGCACACACUAAGUUCUCUGGAAAAUUGUUAAUCACUCCUAUUUCUCAUUUAGAACAACAACAGGUCACAUAUCUCAUCUGAGAUAUUAUAACUAUAAUUCAUUCUAAGAAAAACUAUCUUAGGUUCUGUAUAACUUCUUAUUUUUAUGUGUUACCAAAUUGUCCAUUGUGAUUAAAGAGAAAAACACCAGUAGCAGGAGGUUGAAAUUAGUUAAAAAGGAACUUGUCAUGUAAUAAUAACUUUAGCAUAGCAGCCACAACCCCAAAAUCAGCACAAGCAAAAGUUUGUCUCACAAAAUAUAUUGUGCUAAUGACUUUGGCUCACAAAAUAUGUUAUUGAUGUCCAUUACUACAAUUUUUUAUCUAGUGUAUAUAGCAAUUUGACUGUUUGAUAGUACAUUGAUUAUAUACAAACCAGUAGGAUAGCUCAAUUGGCCAGAAUCACAUCAGCAAAUGGAUCUCUCUUUUUUGUAGGUAUUCCACUAAUAAUAUAUAUAUAUAUAUAUAUAUAUAUAUAUAUAUAUUCAAGAAUUCACCAAAUUUCAAAAUAAGGAUUAUUGAACUGGGAGCUGGAUUCGUAUUUUCAUUUUUGGCUUGUUUUUUUAGGUGAAUGGGUUGCAGCAACACAAUUGGAUUGAGAAAAUAUUAACACAAUCACCUACUCAAAUAAACAACCAUUUGUUUCACAAAGGAUCACAUAAAACAAAUAGCACCAGCAAACUUAAAAUAAAUGAAGCAGAAACUGAAGAAAAACUACUAAAAAAAAAGGAAAGGUGAAAUUUCACUUUUGAAAAUAUAGUCACAUAAAAUGAAGAAAAGCUGCUCAUAGAUUCAAGAAAGACAACAAGCUGACCUUCAAGUUAAAGGAUUCCUUGACUGAUGAUAUGAACUGCAGCAGAAGGAACCUAUCAAUUGAAACAUAUGUGUAUAUUAGAAUUUAUUAAUCUGUCUAUUACUUAUACAGGGAAAAUUUGACAAAAAAAAAGGGAAAAACUUUUUCUCACCAAAGAGACUCCAAAGAGAAAGUGUAAAGAUCAAGAUGCUUCUUCUUGCAUUUUGUAAGACAGAGGAGCCAGCACCAUGCACUGAUAAAUACCUCUAUUCCAUUUUUUGAUUUCGUAAUUCACUGGAAAGGUUACAGGCUAAAUGAAUAGGAAACCUAUUUCUUAUCAUAAUUGGAAUAAGGGAAAAAUCACAUCAGAAAAAAUAUUUCUCAUCAUAAUCGUACGGCUGAUGAGAAUUGAAAAGAAAGCAUGAUUUGAGCAGAAAAUUGAAUGGCAAAGCUAAUGAGAAUAGAAUGUCAUACCUAAUCUAACAAAAAGUUCCCAAUUUCGCUCAUUUGAAGUACAAUUAUCAUGUGAGUAUCCAACAAUUCUUGCAACAUGAAAUUAAUAGAAAGAGAAAUGGGUUAACAUGAAAUCAAUUCUUGCAACAUGAAAUAGGUUAAUUUGAUAUUAGAGAAAGAGGAAACCACAGCAAGUGUAGACAAGAGUAAUUCACCUGCUCCUAACUUUCCUCCUUUGAAGUACAAACACCAUAUGAGUGACCAGCAAUCUCUACAACAUGAAAUCAAGUGUCUGCAGGAGUAGCAGUUGACCUACUGGCUUGAAGAAGGAACUCACAAAACCCAUCUCCCAAAUCAUGUAAAAAAUCCCAACUUUUUGGCUAGAAUAGGCGUUUCGAAUUGGGUUUGGUAGAAUAGCCGUUUGGAAUUGGAUUUGCUCAAAAUAGGCGCACCAUAUUUUGGCUCAGAAUAGCCGUCUGGUAGAGAGAAAGGAAGAAAAGACUUCAAUGGCAAUUUGAGAAAGAAACUGUUUAAUGCCAAAAGAAAGAACAUGUUUCGGACAAUUUGGAAGGCAUAUUUGACUUUUCCACAUGGCAAAAGAAAAAAGAAAGCACUAAUAAGGUAAAGAAACAGUUCAAUGCCAAAAGAAAGAGAAGGUUUCGGACAAUUUGAAAGAAAUAUUAAGAGAAGGCUUCAGACAAUUUGCAAGAAAUAUUUGACCUUGUCACUUGUCAAAUAAUUAAGAAGCCACUUGGUAAAAGAAAAGAAAAGCACUAAACCUUCAUCUUUUCUUAUAUACAAGGAAUGAAGAUUACUUUUUUUUUUAACGAGUACAACAAUAUAAUAAAUUAAUAAUGUAUUUGUAAAUCAAAUGAUGGAACGAGCACUAUAAUAGUACAGAACGGCACGACAUCACAAUUGCUGUGUCAUUCAAUCCCAUACCACAAAUUUAGCAUAUGAUAUACAAUUGGGACUUGAGAACCAGUACAAAAAUCUUAAGUGAUUAAAUAUUGAAAAAGCAAAAUUCAUCAGAGAAGAAAAUUUUUAUGUUUGUCACGUACAACUGGCACAUACAUUUUUUUUUAGACGAUAAAUCUAAUCUAUCCUACAUUAAGGGAAGGGGGCGGAUCUAAGGAGGCUAAGAAAUAAUCCGGAAGAGACUGAAUUACCAUCGGACUAGAUAGACGGUGCACAACACACUCGCUUGAAUUUUUUUUGGAAACAAUCCACUUAGAUGUGAUAUUUUUGAUGAUCCUUGCCUCCCACCCCACCAAUUACGUGGUGGCCACUGAGCCAAUGGCCCAGUGGUUAACGGGCACAUACACGAAUGACCAGGAAUCAUGUGCACUCUUGACUAUUCUUCUUCAAUGACGUAACAUUUCUUGGAUGAAUUGGAUUUUGCUGGAUGAAUGAAUGAGGUUCAAUUAUCUUUAAGGAAAAAGACAAUUUAAUAUUAUUGUCUAAAAAGACAAUUGAAUGAGCCAAGAACUGAUGUUUUGUGUUUGUCUCUACUUUACAAUUAGAGAUCAAAAUCGAGAUGUGCAAAAAUUUUGAACAAGCAAGAACUACUAGCCAAUAAACAUAAACAUAGCACAAGAACUAUCGCAACAGGAGAGCCAAAGUGUUUAAUUAAUGGAAAUACUGUUAGAAAGCUGAUCUUCUGCAGUCUAAUUAAGAUUUCAUUGCACUUAAUCUAACUCAAGAAGUUACAGUCCUUAUUAAUCAGAAUUUCUCCUGAUUAAAGAACAUAAUUAUUUUGUUUGGAUGAACAGAAAAUCUACCUACGAAUAUGAGCAAUGAAAGAAUCCAUCUCCAAGCGACUAGUACCGCCUUCCAUAACAGAAUCCUUUACUGCUUUGCUCAAUUCUUUUGCCCUUUGCCUCAUCUCUUCUCCUUCAGCUGAAUCCAUCAAUCUUCUCACAGCAUUUUCAACAGCCAUGGAUGUCACAAGUUCGUCCCGCCGAGACCAGUCCCUUACUGAUAGACCAAUCUUCAGCACCUUUUCCAGUAUUAUUGCGUUUCUGGGCUGCUCAGAAUGCAUAGGCCAUGCUGCCACGGGCACUCCCAUGCUAAUGCUUUCCAUACACGAGUUCCAUCCGCAGUGACUCAUGAAUCCACCUGUUGAUGAAUGUCCAAGAAUCUCCAGUUGAGGUGCCCAAUCCCUCACAAUUAUUCCUCUUCCUUCAGUUCUUUCUUCGAAUCCUCCGGGCAACUGAGCUCUCCUAACUUCUCCCUUGAAGAUAUCUCCUUGAUCUCCAUCCUUCAGUAUCCAUAUGAACUUUUGCCCGCUUUUCUCUAAUCCAAUCGCGAUCUGCGCGGCUUCCUCGUGUGAUACUGAAGUAUUCGAACCAAAGCAAACAAAAAUGACCGAGUUUGGGCCUUGUUUGUCAAGCCACUCCAGGCAAUAGUGUCUCUGUUCUGUGUUUUUCUGCCCAUUGAUCUCAACUGGAUUGAAGGGACCAACAGCCCAUUGCUUGUGGGAAUCGGCAGUUUUGGCUUUUGCAAGAAGAUCAAGGUACGGACCCUCUAUAAACCUGCAUGUGUUGUACAGAUCGCCAGAGAUAAUUGGCAUGGAUUCCUUUUGCAAUUUUAAGAAAUCUGUCACCUCCUGAGGUAAAGAACUUUCAUGUGAUGGAAGACUUUCGAGUGCUUCAAGUAUUUCAGGCUCAAAUACUCUAGGUUUCCCUUCUUGUUCCCAAGAAAACGUGUAAAUAGCGAAGGCUGAGAUACUUAUAAACGUGUAGGACUCUGCAUUCGGUAUUAAACCCACAUCCUUGAUGACAUAUGGCGUAACAGAGUCACAAAUAACAACCAAUCUUCUCGUUGUGCUAGAAAGUUGUUGCAGAAGUGCGUGAACUGGCUCCCGGAGUUUGACGGAUGCAUUCAACACUGGGAUGAGUUGAGUGGGAAAUUUUGUUGGGGCGUUUGGGUCGGGAGGAGGAGCUUCAUAAGAAGGGGUGGAAAAUUCGUGGAAAUGGAUGUUGGAAAUGGCGAGAGGAUCCCAACCUUGGACUCGGACCUUUGCUUGGCGAGUAUGAGUGGCCGUGCCAACAUAGUGAACGGGUAUAUUGUAGGAGGAGAUGAGGCGGGAGAGAUGCAGGAGUUGGUUGAGAUGACCUUGUAAAGGAAGGGGAACCAUCACCACAGUUACUUCAUGUGUUUCUUGAAUACUAGCAAUUUGGUUUUGGACUGUUGAAUGAUCAUUUUUGGCCAUUGGAAGAAUUUGGGAUUUGGAAAUUUUGGAAAGUUCUUUUUACUUUCAGCUUGUUGGAAUUGCCCUGCUCUUAUAAGGCGUGUAAGAUGAAAGAUGCGGUCCUUAGUCGUAGUCAGAAUUACUUGACGUCCAACACGGACUAGUCCAUGGAUUGGUGGCCACGGAAGCAUCUCAAAGCAAUUGAGGAAAAGCUGAAUACCCUCGAAAGAGAAGUGGAUUUUUCAUGUAUAGUGAAAACAAUUGGUUAUUGGACAAAGUUGACCACACAAACUUGACCACCAAGGUUGCCCGGUUAGCAAAGUUUGACUUUGAUCCCAGGACUCAAUUAUUGGAUCUGUAAUAGAACAUGUGUGAGCUGGAUUUCUUUGUCACCUUUAACAAGGAAGCAGCAGAAGAACUGUCCAGAAGAUGUGAACAUGGAGGAUUAGGUGCUGGGACCGUUGUGCAUUGACAUUUGUAAGGGAUAAUUUCCCAAAACCACUCUUCGCGCUUUUCAUAAUAUCACUCAGCCUCUUAAAUUUUCUAAAAUCUUUACUACCUCCCCUGUCAGUUUGACAAAAUCAAGGGAUAAUUCCAAAAACCUCCCUUAAAGUUACUACUAUUGAUUGUUUCACUAGCCUCUCUCUUGGUUUUAAAAAUUAUACUAACCUCUUUUGAGGUCUAUUAUCUUGUAGCAUUUAGAUCCAACCAACAAUUAAAAAGUGAUAUUAGGAGAGAGAAAAUAAUAUGAUUUCACCAUUACCCCUCAUCUACUAAAUUAUUUAAUUAAUCUAAUGCCCACCCAAAUAUUAAAGAAAAUAUUAGAAUUUUCUGUUUAUCAUCAGGGAUUAAAUCACAUAUGGUAUCAAAAAAUAGUAUAUCAUUCUAUAUAUUUUAUUUAAUGUAACAUCUAAAUUGAUCUUUUUAGUUACAAACUCAUCGUCAAACAUGAUCAACAACAAAUAAUCAAAAAAAAUUUAUAACCAAAAUAUUACAAAGAGUGAAAUUUAAUACCAUAAAAUUCUCAACAGCUAACCUUAAUAUGUUGAUAAAAACAUUUAUGAUAUUAAAGUUUGUUCUAUGUAAUAUUUUUGGUUGUAAAUUUUUUGAUUAUUUGUUAUUGAUCAUGUUUGAUAACGGGUAUAUAAUUGAAAAGAGUAAUUUGGAUCUUAUAUUAAAUGAAAAAUAUAACAUGAUAUACUAUUUUUUGAUACCAUAUGAGAUUUGAUCGCUAAUGAUAAAUAUUAAAUUGCAGUUUUUUUUAAUGUGUGGGUUGGUGUUAUAUUAAUUAAAUAAUGUAAUAGAUAAGAGACAAUGAUAGAAUCAUAUUAUCUUUUUUCUCAUAAUAUUACUUUUUAAUUAUCAAUUGGGUCUAAAUGUUACAAGAUAAUUAAUUUCAGGGGGAGGUUAGUAUAAUUUUUGAAAUCUAGAGGGAGGCCAGUGAAAUAGUCAGAAACUUCAAGGGAGGUUUCUGAAAUUAUCCCUAAAACCAAAUGUCUCCAUCAAGGAACUCUUGCCCAUUGAAGGGACCAACAGCCCAUUCCUUGUGGCUUUUGCAAGAAGAUCAAGUUAUGGACGCUCUAUAAACCUGCAUGUAUUACCAACUCCUUCACUCAAAUAAUAACGAAUGUCCAGUUUCACACCUAAUAAUCACCUCAAACUCUAAUUACAUUAUCUAUCAUUAGAGACAAUAAAAAAGGAUAAGAGUACAAAGUCAUAUAGAUCCAAUUUAAACAAAAGAUUCUGAAAUCUAAUUUUACACUUCUUUUAUUCUCAGGCAAUUAUUUGUGAAAAUUAAAAUCAUGAAAAUAAACUACCUAUCAUGAAUACAGGCUAGUAAUUCAAAAUGUUGAAUGAAAAGAUACGAAAUAUUUUCUUCACAUCCUAAAUUUUUGGCCCCAACAAUUAUUUUACAUAUCAAUAACCUUAUCUAGUAAAUAAGCAUUUUUCACUAUUAAGAAACUUUAUAUAAAUCAAAAUAUCAAAAUAUAAUUAUCUAUCCAAAAUAUCAAAAGAAUAGGAUACAAUACAACUGUGCCUGCCCAUAUUCAAUUAUGAUAUAUAAACAUAUGUACCCAUUUUUCUGUUUUUUCUACCCAAAGAAAGUGGACUCAUUCUGACUACUCUUCUUCAAUCAAUUUAAACAACAAAGAAUUUUCACCAUGUUUUCCCAAAAUCGGCAUUAAAGAAAAAGGACAUCGGAAAAAUAAUAAAGAAAAAGCACCACCAUAUUGCACUAACGUAUUCAGUACUCUCUAGAUGCUUGAAAAACUAGUGGCUGACAUGCAUUAUUAGUGAACUUUAGUCCGAGAUACACUUUGAUUUGAACAUUCAACACUUUUGUCUUUCUACGGCGAAAGACCAAAACCUGAUUGUUAAUUGCAUCUUCGUCUUAUGCUGGACAACUAUUUCUUGUUGAAUUCGACUCCUGCAAUAGAUAUUUAAAUCCCUCUUUCAACGUUGGUCUUAAGACAAAGCACCUAAUAAGUCCAGAAGGUUGUGGAAGUAGUUUUUUUUAGUAAGUUCCGUUACAAUGAUAUCUUCAAGAUUGGAAAUUGCUUUGUCAGUGGAAGCCCGCAAUAGACGAUUAGCCAUACCAUGACAAUAAAACAUGAAAAAAAAAAAAAUACUUUUCUUGUUUAUCUCGUAUCCAAUAAAGAUUGAAUGAUGUAACAUUUCUUUGAUGAAUUGAAAACUGCCAAAUUACAUUUUUGCUGGAUGAAUUAGGUUUGAUUAUUUUUGGUUGGGCAAUGACAAAAUGUCCAGCGGACUAUCGUGCCAAGCUCUGUUUUCAUCUCCAAAGAACAUGUUCAUCACUUAAAUUGCCUGUUUGUUUUCUAAGAUUCCCAUUUCUCAAAAUUUUGAUUUUUAUCAGCUUUACUUCUAAAGACUUCCUGUAAUCUAAUCUAUCCAAAUCUAGGGGGAGGGGGAGGCACUAGAAGUAGAAACUCUAUCAGAAAAAGCCACCGAAAGCAGCCACAUAUAAUGACAAUUUGGUGGGAGGCAAGGAUUGAAUCUUAAUCUCCCAACACCACCAAGACUUAAGUGCUUGGCAGUGACCACCAGGUCAAAGGGCUGGUGGCAGUCAUGAUCUUUGUUUAAAUUAGGGCUGUUCACGAAUCGGCUCGCGAGCGGCUUCAAUACGAGCUUGACUCAAACUCGAUCAAUAUCAAACUCGAGCUAAUUAAGUCGAGAUCGAACUCAAACUCGAGUUCAAAAACACUAAAUUCGUUGGCUCACGAGCUCGAUUAUAUAUAUGUUUUUAUUUUUAUUUUUAUUUUAAUAGUAAAAUUAUAUAUAUAUAUAUCCAUAAUAUUUUAUUAUUUGUUAAAAAAUGAUUAUUUUAUUCAUUUUUAAAAAUAAAAUAAUUAUUUUUUAUUUUUUAAAAAUAAAAUAAUUAUUAUUUUUUUAUUUUUUAAGCUCGAGCUUGAGCUUGACAUUUUGAGCUCGUCGAGCUCAAGUUUGAGCUUCAUAAAAUUAAUUGGAGGCUCGACUUAAUUAGGCCAAAAUUCCAUUCGACUCGGCUCGUUUGCACCCCUAGUUUAAAUGUACAAUAGUAUUAGUUUAAACUUACAAUGUAUUGAUUUGUAGAUUUUUAGAGCAUUGUAUAUUCAUUACUUGGGGGAAAAGCCCACGCUAUGCGUGGGAGUUUAGUACUUGUAAUUAAAGAUAAUUAAUAAUUAUUAUUUGGUAUUUUGUAGUAUAAGAAUUGAAGUAUGACAAUUUUAUUAUAUGAUAUUAAACAGAAAAAUCAUAAGUUAUAUAUUAAAUCAAAAAAUAUAAUAUAUAAUGAAAUAUAAUUAUAAGAUACGGUCAACUACUUUGCAUGUAAUUUAAUAGAAUAAAAGAACUACUUUGACAUCCAACACGGACUAGUCCAUGGAUUGGUGGCUGCGGAAGCAUCUCAAAGCAAUUGAGGAAAAGUUGAAUGUCCUCGAAAGAGAAGUGGAUUUUGUUAAUCUCCCAUCAUUUUUCAUGUAUAGUGAAAAUAAUUGGUUAUUGGACACAGUUGAAAAAACACUUUAUACUUGACCAUCAAGUUUGCCAGUUAGCAAAAUUUGACUUUGAUCCAAGUACUCACAAUUAUUGAAUCUGUAAUAGAACAUGGGUGAGGUGGAUUUCUUUAUAACCUUUUAGCAAAGAAGCAGCAGAAGAACUGUACGGAAGAUGUGAACAUGGAGGGUUAGGUGCUGGGACCGUUGUCCAUUGACAUUUGUAAGGGAUAAUUUCCCAAAACCACCCUCACGCUUUUCAUAAUAUCACUCAGCCUUGUGUUUGGAUUGUAUUUUUCAUUUUUUUUAUGAAAAAAUUACUAUAUCAAUUUGAUGUAUGUGAGAGAAAAAAGUAAUAGGAAAAUGUGAUCACGGGAAACAACAACGCAAUUUUUCGACGAAAAACUGCAAUCCAAACAAGGCUAUUUUUCUAAAAUCUUUACUACCUCCAUUGUCAGUUGACAAAACCAAGGGAUAAUUCCAAAAACCUCCCCUGGAGUUUCUGACUAUUUCACUAGUCUCUCUAUAAGUUUUAAAAAUUACACUAAUCUCCUUUGAGAUCUAUUAACUUAUAACAUUUAGGUCCAACCAAUAAUUAAAAAGUAAUAUUAGGAGAGAGAAAAUAAUAUGAUUUCACCAUUGCUCCUCAUCUAAUAAAUUAUUUAAUUAAUCUAAUACCCGCCAAAACAUUAAAAAAAUAUUAGAAUUUGCUAUUUAUCAUCAGAGAUUAAAUCACAUAUGGUAUUAAAAAAUAGUAUAUCAUUCUAUAUAUUUUAGUUAAUGUAACAUCUAAAUUGAUAAUUUCAAUUAUAAACUCAUUGUCAAAUAUGAUCAACAACAAAUAAUUAAAAAAAUUUGUAACCAAAAUAUUACAAAGAAUGAACAUUAUUACCAUAAAAUUCUCAACAACUAACUUUAAUAUGUUGAUAAGAACAUUUAUGAUGUUAAAGUUUGUUCUAUGUAAUAUUUUGGUUGUAAAAUUUUGGAUUAUUUGUUAUUGAUCAUGUUUGAUAAUGGGUAUGUAGUUGAAAAAAGUAAUUUGGAUCUUGUAUUAAGUGAAAAUUAUAACAUGAUAUAAUCCAUCUAUCCCAUUGAAAGUGUCAUAUUUUUUAUUUUGAGAUAUCUCCAAAUAUUUGUCACUUGCUAAAAAUAGUAAAGACUUUUUAUUCAAUUUCACUCUUUUACCCUUUUGCUUAGCUCAGUGGCCACCAGAGGGGCCUUAAGUCCUUCCUUGAAGCCCCCACCUGCAGCUAAAAAAAAUUCAAGGGUGAUGCCAUAGCACCCUUUUGGUCUAGUCAGAUUUGCAUACGUACUAGCUCCUAACACACAAGCUUUCUUAGGCUUCCCCCUCCCUGUAAAUUAGAAUAGAAUAGAUUAUAUAAUUGUUAUCGUUGUCAGAAUAAAAAGGUCCCCCAAUAAUCAAGUUAAGUCAGCUCUUUGAGCCCACUUGUUCAGUAUUCAUGUGUUUGAAAAGUUUAUAUAAACAUGCGCGUGGAGUGAAAAAUUAUUAAGGAACUUGGUUGAGACCUCAACGUGCAAAGCACGCAUAAGAUAUAUGUAAACAAAACAGAAGUUCUGAGCCCACCCUCCAGUAGUUGUUCAGGCUUUUUAUUUGAAUUGGCAUCAAUACCUGAAACCUAUUGCAUUUACAGCAAGUGAUUAAAAUUGGCAACGCUUAAAAGAAGAACUUUAUGUUAUCAGGUACACCUCUACGUAGACUGAAUGAUAACAGGAUUGGGAUUGUUGCGGUUGUGCUUUUGUCUGAUCCUAUAUGGUUGUUGUGCUUAUGUUAUAUUAUUGUAUUUGUAAAAAUUUAGUGUACGUAAAUAAAAUAUUUCAUAUACAUUUGAUACAAUAGUGUAACAUGAUUUUACAUCAAAUGUUACGACAAAUACAAUGAUCAAAGAAUAGGAUACAAUACAACUGUGCCUGCCCAUAUUCAAUUAUGAUAUAUAAACAUAUGUACCCAUUUUUCUGUUUUUUCUACCCAAAGAAAGUGGACUCAUUCUGACUACUCUUCUUAGGCAUUAGGCAUUAGAAUACAAUAUCUAAGUUCUAAUAUGUGAAGUAAGUGAAUAUUUUGUACACGACCGAACUAUUAAAUGACUAUUACGUUCACUCAUAAUUCAACAAAAAAGUUCAAUAUUGAGUAACUAACAUUUAAAAGAAAGGAAAAGAUAACAUCCUAUUGUAUGUUUUAGUUCAAUGUUCCAUUGUGGAGAUAUUGAGGAUAGUUGCAAGAAAUUUCAAUAUUUUAUCACAGGGUUAGAGGAAUUACUAUCAAAAUUCAGGACGAGGAGGGGUGAGACAGUAUUAUAAUUUCUAAAAUUUUUACAGAUUACUUCACAGUUUCUAAAAAAUUGAGGGGGUGGUCUGAAUUUGGCUCUGCCCCUGUCUAGAGAUGUUGAGAAGUUGUGGACCGAAAUCCUCAAAAACUUGUAGCGUCAGAAAAGGCAAUUUGGUUGCUUUUUGGGAUACUUCCUUUUCAUGAAUGAUAGAGAGCUCACAUGGCCCGGCCAAUUUACAGCAAAAACGAAAAGCUUCUUGUCUUACUACUUUGUCCAGUUAAUGAAAAUCAAAAUUCUAUGAGCAUUUCUUCCUUUUUUUUCCCCCUAAAGAUGCCAAAUUCCUUUCGGGAACAUAAAAGUCAGCAUGUGAUUAUAGGAUUUAUGUCUUUUAGUAGCUAGGAAAUUACAAAGAAACCAAAUUGCAUGUCGAUUAGACGCUGGUGGUUUUUGAAAGACUGCUGCAUUUCUUCAAUGCUGACCUGUUGGAUGACAUUUUCCUGAUAAUGACGGAAUAAAAUAAAUUCAUCAAAUUAAUAACAACGAAUCUGUACCUAGGACUAGGAGAAGACCAAAAAACAAACAUUGAAGUGCUUCUACCUAGGACUGAUGUUUUAUUUUUCUUUAUACUUUGACUCAAAUCAUAUGGUGACUACACAGACUUUGAACAAGUGAGGACUAUGGAAUCAGGAGAGCCAGGUGUCUGAUUAAUCGAAAUUAAUACUAUUAGAAAGCUGAUCAGCUGCACUAUAAUGAAAAUCUCAUUGCAAUUGAUUUAACUUAAUAAGUUACAAUUUUAUUAAUCAGAAUUCCUGCUGAUUAAAGAGCAUAAGGAUUUGGAUGAGCUGAAAGUCUACCUACGAAUAUGAGAAAUGAAAGAAUCCAUCUCCGAGCGACUAACACCACCUUCUAUAACAGAACCCUUGACAGCUUUGCUCAAUUCUCUGGCUCUUUGCCUCAUCUCUUCUC
This 33323-nucleotide long non-coding RNA is filed under the name Coffea arabica (coffee). RNAcentral describes it as "long non-coding RNA (CARA_LNC004096)". The record is from RNAcentral. Lineage: Eukaryota; Viridiplantae; Streptophyta; Magnoliopsida; Gentianales; Rubiaceae.